GUGAAUACCUAUCUUAUUAAUAUUGCCUAUCUAAAAAAAAAAUAUUUUAAGUGUUGUCUAUAUAUUAUCUUAUCUAUAUCGGUUUCAGAUUAUUUUUAUACAACACUAGUUGCAUUGCCUAGUCGAGCGGAAAUACCAGUGAUAUGUGAGGUACUGGCAAAAAGGUCGUAAGAAUGUUUUUUUUCUCACCGGAACCGGAAGUCCUUUUGCUUCCUCACGCAUCGACACACGCCAGUAGUCUACCGUCCACCGGCAAUAUGCGUCCUGUGCGUCGACGAGCUUCAGGGCCGGGUGACCGGACACCCCUUGUUCAGUAUAUAGACGAGGCAUGACUGCAGCGACGAACAGCGGCUAAGGAAACACCGUCGACACAUUAACAUGAUAUUUAUAUUUUUAUCGUCAAAAAAUUAUAAUUAUCAUAAGUUUAUUGAUUUAGCGUGUCUUAAGUACUCUUAACCAUUUUUUGUUAAACACAGAACCAGCGUGACUACGAAUAAGAUCUCACCAUACUUACAUUUUUGUAAAAUUUCACUUGGGAAAGAUCAAACGCUAAAAAUAUUACGAGUGGAACUCAGUGGGACGCAAACUACUACGUUAAUGAUGAUGGCAAUAAUAAUUUUAUUAUGUCAAUAAUAUUUUUUAUAAUCAACUACGGAUAUUAAUCGAAACAUCCAGAAAGUUUUUCGAUCCGCUACGAGAAUUUCCCAACUCAAAUCCAUACACAUUAUAUUAUGAAAAUGGCCAGAUGCACAGUAAUAAUCAAGUUAAAUAUUAAUUUAUUUAAAUUUUGUUUUUGCCCAUCCAAAUAAUCGACUAGGGGAAUAUAGCGCGUCACAUUAUAUUUCGUUUGUGACGACUCAGUGGAUUUUCUCCGUAAGUCGUAACUCCCUUCGAAUUCAGUGGUUUUAUGUUAUAUCCAUAUUCUAACGACGGGUAAAGAAUUUCAGAAAACCAAAACAAAGUACUCUGUAUUCCAUUUCACCCCUCUACCGUCUCGUCGUCGUAGUCAGUUACUAGUUUAAUAUACAGGAACUCUUUGACCAAAAAUGCAUUGGGACUCUAGUGAAUUAGAUUCGGUAAAUGUAUAUUUUACCCCGUGUUACAGUGCUACACGCUAUGUAACUAAAUAUUUUUUUAUAAAUUGUAAAGGAGUUAAUUUUUUUUUUUUUUUAAUGUUUAUGUAUUAUUUCUAUAUUAUUAUAGAAACAUCAACAUUUGAAAGAAAAUUUUCUAAUUUAUUGAAGUGUAUAUUAUUAUAUUAUGCACAUUAAUGAUAAUAGAUAAAUAAAAUGUUGAGUUAAAUAC
Molecule: long non-coding RNA, 1305 nt
Organism: Aphis gossypii (cotton aphid)
Lineage: Eukaryota; Metazoa; Arthropoda; Insecta; Hemiptera; Aphididae
Exons: 4
Source: RefSeq, a predicted model, not a curated record